GACGAACGCUGGCGGCGUGCUUAACACAUGCAAGUCGAACGGAAAGGCCCUGCUUUUGUGGGGUGCUCGAGUGGCGAACGGGUGAGUAACACGUGAGUAACCUGCCCUUGUCUUUGGGAUAACUUCAGGAAACUGGGGCUAAUACCGGAUAGGAGCUCCUGCUGCAUGGUGGGGGUUGGAAAGAUUCGGCGGUUGGGGAUGGACUCGCGGCUUAUCAGCUUGUUGGUGGGGUAGUGGCUUACCAGGGCUUUGACGGGUAGCCGGCCUGAGAGGGUGACCGGCCACAUUGGGACUGAGAUACGGACCAGACGCCUACGGGAGGCAGCAGUGGGGAAUAUUGCACAAUGGGCGGAAGCCUGAUGCAGCAACGCCGCGUGCGGGAUGACGGCCUUCGGGUUGUAAACCGCUUUCGCCGGUGACGAAGCGUGAGUGACGGUAAUGGGUAAAGAAGCACCGGCUAACUACGUG
This 468-nucleotide ribosomal RNA is filed under the name uncultured bacterium. RNAcentral describes it as "partial 16S ribosomal RNA". It matches the Rfam family "Bacterial small subunit ribosomal RNA", at positions 28 to 507 of the family's 1533-position model. The record is from RNAcentral.